Molecule: long non-coding RNA, 2148 nt
Organism: Sapajus apella (tufted capuchin)
Lineage: Eukaryota; Metazoa; Chordata; Mammalia; Primates; Cebidae
Exons: 3
Source: RefSeq, a predicted model, not a curated record
GCGUGUUCAUUCAGUGAGCACCUAGAAGAAAAAAGUGAAUUGCAUGAAUAAUUCUCUCGUUAAUACGAUUUAUUGUGGUUGUAAUGGUGGGUUUAGUAAAGAAGCAGAGAUAGUCUCCUACUCUCCAAAAUGACCUGGCACUUCGACAGUUUAAACUACCUACUAAAGUUGGUAGAAACUGUAUGCAUCCAUCACUGCUGCUUCUGUUGUGACCCUGGGGCCCUUCUUUUAGAUAAGGAGUUAUAGCAAUAUGUUAUAUAGCAUUGGAUUUUGACCAUUGGUAUAUAAAUUCUGAUCAUGUCAAGGUAUCUUGUAGUGUUAAUACACUGGUAAGUAAUAAUUUUAAUACGUUUAAGAGAUUACAGUGUACAUUGUGUUAUUUGGUUCCUUAUGCAGUAGGUAUAGAUCACUAUCUUCAUUUUUCUGAUGAAGGCUCACUGGCUUAGAGAAGUAAAAUGCCUUACCCGAGGUCACACAGUUAAUCAUGGUGGCAGGAGGCAUAGAACUGGCCUCAUGUCUAAUUUAUAUUUAUUUUAUAGCUAUUUAUAGUUACCCAAACUCUAUUAAAGGUGACAUUGUCUUAAGAAAAAGUACUUAUGCAAAAGUAGAGUUAAUAUCUAGAUUGUGUAAGUACUUAAAGUCACUGAUGUUAUAAAUUAAGAAAGUAGGACAAUUAUUUACAAUUGCUUUGGUUUAUAUAUUUGAAAGAUUCAGAAUCCUUGUAUCAGGUUGUUUUCAUAAUAAACAAGAAGCAUAUAAAAAUUUUCAAGACCUUUUUCUCAAUUGAUGUGUUUUAAUAAGUUUUAUAACAUUCAGUUUUUAGUAUAGUCUACAUUCUAAAAUUAGUCUAUAUAGUCUGUAUACUAAAAUGAGAAUGUUUUUGAAAUAUAUUUUAAGACGAAAUAUGUAUUUAUGAUAAAUGUAUUGGCAAUUCUUAAAAAAGUGAAUGAAGUAAUAAAUCUAUCAUUUAGUAAGUAAUUUGUGUAAAGACCCCUAAAAUCAUUAAUAGCAUAACUUGAAAUCUAAAAGAGCUUAUUUAAAAUAUAAGCUUAUUAGCAAUAAUAGAUUUUGUAAUGAAAUAUUUACAUUCUUACCCAUUAAUAUCUGAUUAAUUAGAAUAUUUUAGACAUGUACCAGUUUUUGCCAGGUUAUACUGCAGUGACAAUAAACCUCUAAAUUUCAGUGACAACAAUAUAAGUUGAUUUCUUGUUCAUGUUACAUGUCUAUUGCAGGUUGAUAUGUAACACAGUCUCACAUUAUUGUAACACAACCUUACAUUAUUGUUCUUUCUUGUAUGGUCAAAGGGAAAGAAAUACCGUGGUGGAACUACAAGAUGGCAUUAAGGUUCCUGCUUGGCAGUGCCACAAGUCACUGGGCUUAUUUUGGACUGGCCAAAGCAAGUCAUGAGAAUCAGUAAAAUAUUAGCUGUUUCCUUUCCUCAGAAAAGGUUUAUGGAAGAUCAUAAAUAUAAAAAUAAUAGCUAAAAUUUAUUGGAACACCUUCUACAUGCCAGGGGCUUUACUAAGCAUUUACAGAUGGGAACACUUAAUUCUCACAGCAUCCCCUGAGGUAUUGGCACCUCUCAUCACUUCCUCCCCUCAUAUCUUUCAAAUGUAUUAAGUGUUGUGUUGCAAAGGGCUUCGCCCUCUGCUGAGACAUUUUCCCAGAUAAUCAGCAGCAAAAUCUUCAAAAAUUUGGCCUCCAUCUUGUGGAAGCGGCUAUCCAUGUGCCAUAUUCUACUGAGGAUGGAGUCUUCUUAGCCAGCAGGGAGGUAAAUGAGCCAUUCUCCAAACUCGUUCUUUCUGACUGUGGUACCACCUAUUUCAGUUCAGGUCCUCCAAGAGGCAGACCUCAAGACAGUAUUAUAUGUGCAAGAGAUUUAUUGGGGAAGAAACCCCUGAACAAUUUAGGGGAGAUAAAGGAGGGGGAGAAAGUAUGAGAGGUAGGGAGAAACCUUAGACCAUAAUGCAGCUGUGACACCUGUAAAAAAUAGAAAGGAGUAAGGAGGAUGAGAGAGGAAAAGCUGUAGACUAAAGUUCUGAGGGAGUUCUGUCCAGGCUGAUGGGAAGUCUUAGAGCAAAGAUUGCCUAUUAGAAGAGUCCUCCAGUUGCUAUGAGCCGAGAUUGCACCACUGCACUCCAGCCUGGU